UACGAAGGGGGCUAGCGUUGCUCGGAAUUACUGGGCGUAAAGGGCGCGUAGGCGGCACUGUUAGUCAGGCGUGAAAUUCCUGGGCUCAACCUGGGGACUGCGCUUGAUACGGCAGAGCUUGAGGAUGGAAGAGGGUCGCGGAAUUCCCCAGUGUAGAGGUGAAAUUCGUAGAUAUUGGGAAGAACACCGGUGGCGAAGGCGGCGACCUGGUCCAUUACUGACGCUGAGGCGCGACAGCGUGGGGAGCAAACAGG
Molecule: ribosomal RNA, 254 nt
Filed under: uncultured bacterium
Lineage: Bacteria
Description: partial 16S ribosomal RNA
Rfam family: Bacterial small subunit ribosomal RNA
Source: RNAcentral